This 1032-nucleotide long non-coding RNA is filed under the name Canis lupus familiaris (dog). RNAcentral's name for it is "lncRNA (ENSCAFG00040004168.1)". Lineage: Eukaryota; Metazoa; Chordata; Mammalia; Carnivora; Canidae. The record is from RNAcentral.
UUACUAGCUUCAUCAUUACCAUAGUUGGACCAGUGAAAACAGGACCAUAGAUUAAUUUGAGCAGACCUAUAUUUUGGUUGUUUCUGUUACUUUCCUCUUUUGCUUUCCAUAGUCAAACCAUUUCUGCACUGGUAUAGACAGGAUGGAAGACACUUGCUGGAGAGGAGAAAGCCAUUCGAUUUGGGAUUAUUAGAGUGAAACCUGUCAACCCCACGAAGAACAGUUUUAUCUGGACAUUGCAGAGGAUAUCCUAUAUGAAUGGAAGGUCAAAAUGGAAGCCCCUGGACUUUGUUACAGAAGAGUUCCCCCACCAGCUUGCAAUUGAAUCCUGAAAUUCUUUUUUUUUUUUAAAGAUUUUAUUUAUUUAUUCAUGAGAGACACAGAGAGAGAGAGAGAGAGAGAGGGAGAAGCAGACUCCCCACAGAGCAGGGAGCCUCCAAUGUGGGGCUCCAUCCCAGGACCCCAGGAUCAUGAUCUGAGCCAAAGGCAGACGCUUACCCGACUGAGCCACCCAGGCACCCCUAAAAUCUUAAGAACAAAGCAAAACAAAACAAACAUCACCUCUACUCUCACAAAAGCUUUCUAUUUAUUAGAGGAGAAGCGGUUUGUUUGUGUGUUUGUUUUAAUUAAGUGAAACCUACUGGUAUUAUGUAGUUUAGAGGCCAGAAGUGCUAUUGUGGAAGAAUAAAAAAGUGAAGGAGAGCAGGGAGAAGUGGGGAGGGGGUUGCCAUGAAGGUAACACCGCCAAGUUAUGUUUGAGCCCAGUUGGCUACGUGGGGGAGGAACCUUCCAGGCGGAGUGGCAGCAGGUACAAAGCCCAGAGAUGAGGGUGUGCCAGGGUGGUCCAGCAGGAGCAAGGAAGCCCGUGUGCCUGGAGCUGAGGGCGUGAGGACAAGGACGAUAAAAUCAGAGAGUCUGUGGAGCUGGCUUUAGAGAGGCCACCGGAAACCUCUGGCAUUUACCCUGAGUCUGGGAGCCCUCAUCUUCACCUGAGAAGGAUGGCUCUUGUGGCUGGUACCUAGCAGGCUGCUA